Molecule: small nucleolar RNA, 125 nt
Organism: Heterocephalus glaber (naked mole-rat)
Lineage: Eukaryota; Metazoa; Chordata; Mammalia; Rodentia; Bathyergidae
Source: Ensembl
UGCCUCAUUCUACAUUAGAGUGGGCACUGUUGAUUGAUGUUCAGGAUUGGUUAGUGUGGCUAAAAUGGAGACACAGCUCAUGGUUCCAUCACAGUUAGAAUGCAGUACUGAAGCCUGUAACAUUU